This 21-nucleotide non-coding RNA is filed under the name Arabidopsis thaliana (thale cress). Lineage: Eukaryota; Viridiplantae; Streptophyta; Magnoliopsida; Brassicales; Brassicaceae. The record is from RNAcentral.
UGGAAUGCCGAAGAAAAACUC